GGGCGAAUGGAGGAACUGGAAUACUCGUAGCACUCAGAAUGCUACGCCCUUGUGGAUUGAGCGUUCGAAUCGCUCUUCGCCCACCA
RNAcentral lists this transfer RNA (86 nucleotides) under Prevotella sp. RNAcentral's name for it is "tRNA-Leu". Lineage: Bacteria; Pseudomonadati; Bacteroidota; Bacteroidia; Bacteroidales; Prevotellaceae. The record is from RNAcentral.